GCGAACGCUGGCGGCAGGCCUAACACAUGCAAGUCGAACGAACCCUUCGGGGUUAGUGGCGGACGGGUGAGUAACACGUGGGAACGUACCUUUAGGUUCGGAACAACACAGGGAAACUUGUGCUAAUGCCGAAUGUGCCCUUCGGGGGAAAGAUUUAUCGCCGAUGGAUGAACCCGCGUCCGAUUAGCUUGUUGGUGAGGUAAUGGCUCACCAAGGCUUCGAUCGGUAGCUGGUCUGAGAGGAUGACUAGCCACACUGGGACUGAGACACGGCCCAGACUCCUACGGGAGGCAGCAGUGGGGAAUAUUGGACAAUGGGCGCAAGCCUGAUCCAGCAAUGCCGCGUGAAUGAUGAAGGCCUUAGGGUUGUAAAGUUCUUUCGCUCGUGACGAUGAUGACGGUAACGAGAGAAGAAGCCCCGGCUAACUUCGU
RNAcentral lists this ribosomal RNA (431 nucleotides) under uncultured bacterium. RNAcentral's name for it is "bacterial SSU rRNA". It matches the Rfam family "Bacterial small subunit ribosomal RNA", at positions 29 to 506 of the family's 1533-position model. The record is from RNAcentral.